Non-coding RNA from Zygosaccharomyces rouxii, 74 nucleotides. The record is from Rfam. NCBI's taxonomy places the organism in Eukaryota, Fungi, Ascomycota, Saccharomycetes, Saccharomycetales, Saccharomycetaceae.
GGUCCGUUGGCCCAGUUGGUUAAGGCGCCGUGCUGAUAACGCGGAGAUCGGCGGUUCGAACCCGCCACGGACCA